RNAcentral lists this ribosomal RNA (447 nucleotides) under uncultured bacterium. RNAcentral's name for it is "partial 16S ribosomal RNA". It matches the Rfam family "Bacterial small subunit ribosomal RNA", at positions 29 to 523 of the family's 1533-position model. The record is from RNAcentral.
AACGAACGCUGGCGGCAGGCCUAACACAUGCAAGUCGAACGCCCCGCAAGGGGAGUGGCAGACGGGUGAGUAACGCGUGGGAACGUGCCUUUCGGUUCGGAAUAGGCCGGGGAAACCCGGGUUAAUACCGGAUACGUCCUUCGGGAGAAAGAUUUAUCGCCGAGAGAUCGGCCCGCGGCUGAUUAGCUAGUUGGCGGGGCAAUGGCCCACCAAGGCGACGAUCAGUAGCUGGUCUGAGAGGAUGAUCAGCCACACUGGGACUGAGACACGGCCCAGACUCCUGCGGGAGGCAGCAGUGGGGAAUAUUGGACAAUGGGCGCAAGCCUGAUCCAGCCAUGCCGCGUGAGUGAUGAAGGCCCUAGGGUUGUAAAGCUCUUUCGGCGGGGACGAUAAUGACGGUACCCGCAGAAGAAGCCCCGGCUAACUUCGUGCCAGCCGCCGCAGUAA